Molecule: microRNA, 23 nt
Filed under: Sus scrofa (pig)
Lineage: Eukaryota; Metazoa; Chordata; Mammalia; Artiodactyla; Suidae
Description: ssc-mir143
Source: RNAcentral
UGCUGCAGCCACUGCUGGUCUGG